GUCAAGUGACGAAGCGUACACGGUGGAUGCCUAGGCAACUGGAGGCGAUGAAAGACGUUGUAGCCUGCGAAAAGGCUCGGGGAGGUGGCAAACGACCUUUGAUCCGAGCAUCUCUGAAUGGGGAAACCCACCCGUCUUAAGGCGGGUA
Molecule: ribosomal RNA, 148 nt
Filed under: Diacronema lutheri
Lineage: Eukaryota; Haptophyta; Pavlovophyceae; Pavlovales; Pavlovaceae
Description: partial Bacterial large subunit ribosomal RNA
Rfam family: Bacterial large subunit ribosomal RNA
Source: RNAcentral